UUCUAAUUUUCAGCUGGCAGAAUUCCCAGAGAUUCUCUCACCUCUCUGAUUUUUUCCUCAUUCGGUUGAGCAUAGGAUAUAUUUCACUGUCUAUAUAAGACCUCAUAUCCUCUCAUUUUACUCUCUUCAAUUUCAAGAACACACACACAUACGAAAUAAACUGGAGAUUUUCAAAUAUCUUCAUUCUUCUUCACUCUCAUUUUGAGAGAAGGUUAUGGAAUUCCAGCCCAAAAAGGUUCAAGGUUUUAUUUUUAGUUCAAAUCUUCUGCUACAAAUCUGGGUUUGUAGCUGUUGAAGUUAGAGAAGAGUCACUAUCUUGUUGCUGUAUUGAUUGUGCUGGGUUAAGCUGUAGAUUUGAAGUUCUGAUCUCUCUUAGUUCUUUCUUGUUGUUGUUUCCCUGUUUUAAAGAUGUGUUAAUCCUCUUUUACUCAAAUUAUAAAAAGAGAUUGGUUUGUCUAUGGCAUACCAUUGCAAUGUUCUUAGUAAUUCCAUUUUUAGCAUGUUUAAAGUCUUAAAUUGGUGUGGCUUCAUGUUUUUGUCAAUCUGGGCAUUGUUUGAGAUGUUAAGGUGAUGGAAAUAGUAUGUUGAUGUUCAGUAGUUGAUAUACAUGCUAUUUGGAUGUCAUGAUUGUCGUUUCCUUUUCUUUUCUUUUUUCCAGAAGUGUUGUUAUUAGUAGUUGAUGUUAGUAUUACCUUUUGGUUCAAAAUAAGGUUGAGAUUGUUGUUUUAGAUCAGAUUUUGCAGAAGUUUAGCAAAAACUCCACUAUCAUGUUCUGUGUGGAUUUGUGUUAAUCUUGAAAUAUAAAGAGUUAUCUCUACUGAUCAUACGACUGUAGUCUGAAAAUCUGACCACUAAUUGAUCAGAUUAGGAGGCUCUAAAGCUAAAGAGUAUACUCAGCGCCACUGUUCAAAAGAAGUUUAAAUUGAGUACUAAUCAUACCCUAUUUUGUUUCAACUGUUAUUAUUAAUGACCUCUAUAUCCAUUAGGAAGCAUUCAUUGGUGAGAAUUGUAAUUGAAAUUGCCAGAAUUGUAAAUGCCAGUCUGUUGAUAGUUUUCUUUUGAAAUUCGAAUGUUAACAUUUUUUUAAUGGUAUUUGCUGUGUUGGAUUCUUGUUGCGCAUGAAAAUUUGUAUCUACGUAGGUGUGCUAGUUUAUUCUUAAAAGUGGCUGCUUUUGUAAUAAUUUGUAAUUAAGGUCAUGACCCUUUCUUGUUGAGUCAUACGAAAUUGGGCUUCAACCCAUAUUGAACUUAUACAUGACUUCAUGUCUUCCUGAAAUUUAAACAUGCAUGAAAUGAUCCUCCCUCCUUCUAAUGUUCCACUAAUUAAUUGCUUUUGUUUUUUUUUUCUUCUUUUAAGUUGUAUGUAUUUCAACCAAAAUAUGAAGUCUUGAAAAUUGUUUGAACUUUGGUAUUUUGUUUGUCACGAUCCAAGUUUUUCCUCUGUGUGUUGUCUUGUAGUAGUAAAAAUAAAAUUGCGCAUGAAAAUUUGUAUCUACGUAGGUGUGCUAGUUUAUUCUUAAAAGUGGCUGCUUUUGUAAUAAUUUGUAAUUAAGGUCAUGACCCUUUCUUGUUGAGUCAUACGAAAUUGGGCUUCAACCCAUAUUGAACUUAUA
This 1613-nucleotide long non-coding RNA is filed under the name Nicotiana benthamiana. RNAcentral describes it as "long non-coding RNA (NBEN_LNC006138)". The record is from RNAcentral. Lineage: Eukaryota; Viridiplantae; Streptophyta; Magnoliopsida; Solanales; Solanaceae.